UACGGAGGGGGCUAGCGUUGUUCGGAAUUACUGGGCGUAAAGGGCUCGUAGGUUGCCAACUAAGUCAGACGUGAAAUCCCUCAGCUUAACUGGGGAACUGCGUCUGAUACUGGAUGGCUUGAGUUUGGGAGAGGGAUGCGGAAUUCCAGGUGUAGCGGUGAAAUGCGUAGAUAUCUGGAGGAACACCGGUGGCGAAGGCGGCAUCCUGGACCGAUACUGACGCUGAGGAGCGAAAGCCAGGGGAGCAAACGGG
This 253-nucleotide ribosomal RNA is filed under the name uncultured bacterium. RNAcentral describes it as "partial 16S ribosomal RNA". It matches the Rfam family "Bacterial small subunit ribosomal RNA", at positions 524 to 776 of the family's 1533-position model. The record is from RNAcentral.